Molecule: ribosomal RNA, 911 nt
Filed under: uncultured Acaulospora
Lineage: Eukaryota; Fungi; Glomeromycota; Glomeromycetes; Diversisporales; Acaulosporaceae
Description: SSU rRNA
Rfam family: Eukaryotic small subunit ribosomal RNA
Source: RNAcentral
UACCAUGGUUUUAACGGGUAACGGGGAAUUAGGGUUCGAUUCCGGAGAGGGAGCCUGAGAAACGGCUACCACAUCCAAGGAAGGCAGCAGGCGCGCAAAUUACCCAAUCCCGACACGGGGAGGUAGUGACAAUAAAUAACAAUAUGGGGCUCUUACGAGUCUCGUAAUUGGAAUGAGUACAAUUUAAAUCUCUUAACGAGGAACAAUUGGAGGGCAAGUCUGGUGCCAGCAGCCGCGGUAAUUCCAGCUCCAAUAGCGUAUAUUAAAGUUGUUGCAGUUAAAAAGCUCGUAGUUGAAUUUCGGGGUCUAUCCGUUGGUCGGGCUUUUGGGUCCGUACUGGCGUUAUGGAUUCCUACCUUCUGAAUAACCGGCAUGCYAUUAAUUUGGUGUGCUGGGGAAGCAGGACUGUUACCUUGAAAAAAUUAGAGUGCUUAAAGCAGGCUAUWGCCUGAAUACAUUAGCAUGGAAUAAUGAAAUAGGACGGCAUGGUUCUAUUUUGUUGGUUUCUAGGAUCACCGUAAUGAUUAAUAGGGAUAGUUGGGGGCAUUAGUAUUCAAUUGUCAGAGGUGAAAUUCUUGGAUUUAUUGAAAACUAACUUCUGCGAAAGCAUUUGCCAAGGAUGUUUUCAUUAAUCAAGAACGAAAGUUAGGGGAUCGAAGACGAUCAGAUACCGUCGUAGUCUUAACCAUAAACUAUGCCGACUAGGGAUCGGACGAUGUUAAUUUUAUAAUGACUCGUUCGGCGCCUUACGGGAAACCAAAGUGUUUGGGUUCCGGGGGGAGUAUGGUCGCAAGGCUGAAACUUAAAGGAAUUGACGGAAGGGCACCACCAGGGGUGGGAGCCUGCGGCUUAAUUUGACUCAACACGGGGAAACUCACCAGGUCCAGACAUAGUAAGGAUUGACAGAUUGA